This 1446-nucleotide ribosomal RNA is filed under the name uncultured Bordetella sp. RNAcentral's name for it is "partial 16S-23S ribosomal RNA intergenic spacer". It matches the Rfam family "Bacterial small subunit ribosomal RNA". Lineage: Bacteria; Pseudomonadati; Pseudomonadota; Betaproteobacteria; Burkholderiales; Alcaligenaceae. The record is from RNAcentral.
GGUUUGAUUAUGGCUCAGAUUGAACGCUGGCAGGAUCUUUACGUAAGUCAGACAGCAGCACGGACUUCGGUCUGGUGGCGAGUAGCGAACGGGUGAGUAAUGUAUCGGAACGUGCUAGUGGCGGGGAUAACUACGCGGCGUAGCUAAUACCACCAUGCAUGCCGAGGGAAAGCGGGGGACCUUCGGGCCUCGCACUAUUAAACUGACCGAUAUCGGAUAGCUAAGUUGGUGGGGUAACGGCUCACCAAGGCGACGAUCCGUAGCUGGUUUGAGAGGACGACCAGCUGGGACUGAGACACGGCCCAGACUCCUGCAAGGAGGCAGCAGUGGGAAUUUUGGACAAUAGGGAAACCUGAUCCAGCCAUCCCGUGUGCGAUGAAGGCCUUCGGGGUUGUAAGCACUUUUUGGCAGGAAAGAAACAGCCUGGGAUAAUACCCCCGUGCAACUGACAGGGUACCUGCAAGAAUAAAGCACCGGCUAACUACGUGCGGCAACCGCGGUAAUACGUAAGUGCAAGCGUUAAUCGGAAUUACUGGGCGUAAAGCGUGCGCAGGCGGUUCGGAAAGAAAGAUGUGAAAUCCCAGAGCUUAACUUUGGAACUGCAUUUUAACUACCGAGCUAGAGUGUGUCAGGGAGGUGGAAUUCCGCGUGUUAGCAGUGAAAUGUAGAUAUGCGGAGGAACACCGAUAGCGAAGGCAGCCUCCUGGGAUAACACUGACGCUCAUGCACAAAAGCGUGGGGAGCAAACAGGAUUAGAUACCCUGGUAGUCCACGCCUAAACGAUGUCAACUAUUUGGGGCCUUCGGGCCUUGGUAGCGCAACUAACGCGUGAAGUUGACCGCCUGGGGAAAUACAGUCGCAGAUUAAAACUCAAAGGAAUUGACGGGGACCCACUACAAGCGGUGGAUGAAGUGGAUUAAUUCGAUGCAACGCGAAAAACCUUACCUACCCUUGGUAUGUCUGAGAUCGAAGAGAUUUGGGAGUGCUCGCAAGAAGAACCGGAACAGGUGCUGCAUGGCUGUCGUCGUGUCGUGAGAUGUUGGGUUAAGUCCGCAACGAGCGCAACCCUUGUCAUUAGUUGCUACAGGCACUCUGAGACUGCCGGUGAUAAACCGGAGGAAGGUGGGGAUGACGUCAAGUCCUCAUGGCCCUUAUGGGUAGGGCUUCACGUCAUACAAUGGUCGGGACAGAGGGUCCCUGCGCCAACCGCGAGGGGAGCCAAUCCCGGCCCGAUCGUAGUCCGGAUCGCAGUCUGCAACUCGACUGCGUGAAGUCGGAGAAUCGCUAGUAAUCGCCGGAUCAGCAUGUCGCGGUGAAUACGUUCCCGGGUCUUGUACACCGCCCGUCACACCAUGGGGAGUGGGUUUUACCAAGUAGAUUAGCCUAACCAUGGGAAAGGGCGAUUACCCAGUAAGGAUUCAUGACUGGUGAAGUCAUGCCAGGUAA